RNAcentral lists this ribosomal RNA (757 nucleotides) under Pseudoalteromonas sp. RNAcentral's name for it is "bacterial SSU rRNA". It matches the Rfam family "Bacterial small subunit ribosomal RNA", at positions 41 to 787 of the family's 1533-position model. Lineage: Bacteria; Pseudomonadati; Pseudomonadota; Gammaproteobacteria; Alteromonadales; Pseudoalteromonadaceae. The record is from RNAcentral.
AGCGUGCGGAGCUACCAUGCAGUCGAGCGGUAACAGAGAGUAGCUUGCUACUCUGCUGACGAGCGGCGGACGGGUGAGUAAUGCUUGGGAAUGUACCUUAUGGUGGGGGACAACAGUUGGAAACGACUGCUAAUACCGCAUAAUGUCUUCGGACCAAAGCGGGGGACCUUCGGGCCUCGCGCCAUAAGAUCAGCCCAAGUGGGAUUAGCUAGUUGGUGAGGUAAUGGCUCACCAAGGCGACGAUCCCUAGCUGGUUUGAGAGGAUGAUCAGCCACACUGGGACUGAGACACGGCCCAGACUCCUACGGGAGGCAGCAGUGGGGAAUAUUGCACAAUGGGCGCAAGCCUGAUGCAGCCAUGCCGCGUGUGUGAAGAAGGCCUUCGGGUUGUAAAGCACUUUCAGUAAGGAGGAAAGGUUGGAUGUUAAUAGCAUUCAGCUGUGACGUUACUUACAGAAGAAGCACCGGCUAACUCCGUGCCAGCAGCCGCGGUAAUACGGAGGGUGCGAGCGUUAAUCGGAAUUACUGGGCGUAAAGCGUACGCAGGCGGUUUGUUAAGCGAGAUGUGAAAGCCCCGGGCUCAACCUGGGAACUGCAUUUCGAACUGGCAAACUAGAGUGUGAUAGAGGGUGGUAGAAUUUCAGGUGUAGCGGUGAAAUGCGUAGAGAUCUGAAGGAAUACCGAUGGCGAAGGCAGCCACCUGGGUCAACACUGACGCUCAUGUACGAAAGCGUGGGGAGCAAACAGGAUAGUCCUCC